This 348-nucleotide ribosomal RNA is filed under the name Triticum aestivum (bread wheat). RNAcentral's name for it is "partial small subunit ribosomal RNA". The record is from RNAcentral. Lineage: Eukaryota; Viridiplantae; Streptophyta; Magnoliopsida; Poales; Poaceae.
AUGCCCACACUCAGAGCAUCCUCCUCCUCCCCCAAUCAUGUCCCUAAUGGAUCCGACACACAGGACCGGGGAGGGGAAGCAGGCAGAGUGGCCGCUGGUGCAGGCGAAGAUGCAUGGACACCAGCUAGAGCGAGGGUGGAGACCCAAGACGGCCCAGACCCCGGCCCUCCUGAGGAAACCGGCUCCCGCCGGCGAGCAGUCGAAGCAAGAGGCCCUUCGUCCUCGUUAGAAGAGCUGUCCUUAGAGAGUUCCCCUUCCCCAUCCUACCCGGCAGCAGAGGGAGCAAGCGGAGGGGAAGGGGGCUCGGGCCCCGCCCUCCAAUCAAGGUCGGCCAGGUCAAUCUUGUAG